GUGAAUCAUCAAAUUUUUGAACGCAAAUUGCACUCCCUGGUAUUCCGGAGAGUAUGCCUGUUUGAGGGUCAGUUUAAAUAAAAAUCGGUGUGGUUGCUGCCUUUCGUGGUGACGCACCGGAUUUGGGUUGUCUUGCCAUCGGUUAAGCGACCUAAAAUCUUGCAUGAUCUUUUUCGAACGUAUUUAAAUGAUCUUACGUACGUUUGUGAUAUCGAAUUCUAGGUUUGGUAAUUCUC
RNAcentral lists this unclassified non-coding RNA (236 nucleotides) under Glomeraceae sp. RNAcentral's name for it is "partial contains 5.8S ribosomal RNA and internal transcribed spacer 2". The stretch from base 1 to 71 matches the Rfam family "5.8S ribosomal RNA", at positions 84 to 154 of the family's 154-position model. The record is from RNAcentral. Lineage: Eukaryota; Fungi; Glomeromycota; Glomeromycetes; Glomerales; Glomeraceae.